GGUGAGGUGGAUGAGUGGCCGAAGUCAGCUCACUGCUAACGAGUCGAUCUCAAAAGGAUCCGCGGGUUCGAAUCCCGCCCUCACCG
This 86-nucleotide transfer RNA is filed under the name Patescibacteria group bacterium. RNAcentral's name for it is "tRNA-Ser". It matches the Rfam family "tRNA". From Rfam's summary of the family: Transfer RNA (tRNA) molecules are approximately 80 nucleotides in length. Their secondary structure includes four short double-helical elements and three loops (D, anti-codon, and T loops). Further hydrogen bonds mediate the characteristic L-shaped molecular structure. tRNAs have two regions of fundamental functional importance: the anti-codon, which is responsible for specific mRNA codon recognition, and the 3' end, to which the tRNAs corresponding amino acid is attached (by aminoacyl-tRNA synthetases). tRNAs cope with the degeneracy of the genetic code in two manners: having more than one tRNA (with a specific anti-codon) for a particular amino acid; and 'wobble' base-pairing, i.e. permitting non-standard base-pairing at the 3rd anti-codon position. The record is from RNAcentral.